UUGUGGCUCAGGACGAACGCUGGCGGCGUGCCUAAUACAUGCAAGUUGAACGCUUCUUUCUUAUCGAACUUCGGUUCACCAAGAAAGAAGAGUCAGCGAACGGGUGAGUAACACGUGGGUAACCUGCCCAUCAGCGGGGGAUAACACUUGGAAACAGGUGCUAAUACCGCAUAAUACUUUUUCUCUCAUGAGUGAAAGUUGAAAGGCGCUUUUGCGUCACUGAUGGAUGGACCCGCGGUGCAUUAGCUAGUUGGUAGGGUAACGGCCUACCAAGGCAACGAUGCAUAGCCGACCUGAGAGGGUGAUCGGCCACACUGGGACUGAGACACGGCCCAGACUCCUACGGGAGGCACCAGUAGGGAAUUUUCGGCAAUGGACGAAAGUCUGACCGAGCAACGCCGCGUGAGUGAAGAAGGUUUUCGGAUCGUAAAACUCUGUUGUUAGAGAAGAACAAGGAUGAGAAGAGAAUGUUCAUCCCUUGACGGUAUCUAACCAGAAAGCCACGGCUAACUACGUGCCAGCAGCCGCGGUAAUACGUAGGUGGCAAGCGUUGUCCGGAUUUAUUGGGCGUAAAGCGAGCGCAGGCGGUUCUUUAAGUCUGAUGUGAAAGCCCCCGGCUCAACCGGGGAGGGUCAUGGAAACUGGGAACUUGAGGCAAAAGGGAGAGUGGAACUCCAUGUGUAGCGGUGA
RNAcentral lists this ribosomal RNA (690 nucleotides) under Enterococcus sp. Its description in RNAcentral is "bacterial SSU rRNA". It matches the Rfam family "Bacterial small subunit ribosomal RNA", at positions 17 to 684 of the family's 1533-position model. The record is from RNAcentral. Lineage: Bacteria; Bacillati; Bacillota; Bacilli; Lactobacillales; Enterococcaceae.